AACUGUGGUCCUUUAUAAAUAGCCAGCCACAGUGUAAGUAUAUUCUGUGCUUCUCAGGCUUGAUUUUCCUGUUAACUAAGACUCAAGUAAUGUUCUUUUCCCCUCUGGUUAUCUGAGUCUAUCUUGAAAACUUAAGUCAUAGGAUUGUGGUUACAAGUUUUGCUUGAGCUGAGGAUGUAGCUGAGUGCCUA
Long non-coding RNA from Perognathus longimembris pacificus (Pacific pocket mouse), 191 nucleotides. RefSeq lists it as uncharacterized. The record is from RefSeq and is a predicted model, not a curated record. The transcript is spliced from 2 exons. NCBI's taxonomy places the organism in Eukaryota, Metazoa, Chordata, Mammalia, Rodentia, Heteromyidae.